AUUGAACGCUGGCGGCAGGCUUAACACAUGCAAGUCGAACGGUAGCAGGAGAAAGCUUGCUUUCUUGCUGACGAGUGGCGGACGGGUGAGUAAUGCUUGGGAAUCUGGCUUAUGGAGGGGGAUAACGACGGGAAACUGUCGCUAAUACCGCGUAGUAUCGGAAGAUGAAAGUGCGGGACCGCAAGGCCGCAUGCCAUAAGAUGAGCCCACGUGGGAUUAGGUAGUUGGUGGGGUAAAGGCCUACCAAGCCUGCGAUCUCUAGCUGGUCUGAGAGGAUGGCCAGCCACACUGGAACUGAGACACGGUCCAGACUCCUACGGGAGGCAGCAGUGGGGAAUAUUGCGCAAUGGGGGGAACCCUGACGCAGCCAUGCCGCGUGAAUGAAGAAGGCCUUCGGGUUGUAAAGUUCUUUCGGUAUUGAGGAAGGAGUGUAUGUUAAUAGCAUACAUUAUUGACGUUAAAUACAGAAGAAGCACCGGCUAACUCCGUG
This 490-nucleotide ribosomal RNA is filed under the name uncultured bacterium. RNAcentral's name for it is "partial 16S ribosomal RNA". It matches the Rfam family "Bacterial small subunit ribosomal RNA", at positions 30 to 507 of the family's 1533-position model. The record is from RNAcentral.